Molecule: ribosomal RNA, 398 nt
Filed under: uncultured bacterium
Lineage: Bacteria
Description: bacterial SSU rRNA
Rfam family: Bacterial small subunit ribosomal RNA
Source: RNAcentral
AAUGAACGUUGGCGGCGUGGAUUAGGCAUGCAAGUCGAGCGAGAAGCUUAUCAUUGAUCCUUCGGGUGAUUUGGUAAGUGGACAGCGGCGUAAGGGAGAGUAACGCGUAGUUCACCUACCCAGGGGUUCGGAAUAGCGGCGGGAAACUGCCGGUAAUGCCGAAUGAUGUCUCCGGACCAAAGCUCCGGCGCCCUUGGACGGGACUGCGUGCCAUUAGCUAGUUGGUGGGGUAAAGGCCUACCAAGGCUGAGAUGGCUAGUGGGCGUGAGAGCGUGGCCCACCUCACUGGGACUGAGACACUGCCCAGACACCUACGGGUGGCUGCAGUCGAGAAUCUUCGGCAAUGGACGAAAGUCUGACCGAGCGACGCCGCGUGCGGGAUGAAGGCCUUCGGGUUG